ACCAUUAUCUAUCUUUAGCAAUCUCUCAUUUUGAUAAUCUGAGUUUGGUUAAUUUCAGGACCGCUCACUCAUUCAAGAAUCAGAUUUGGAGUUCCAAAAGCUUAAGUGAUCUUUUUGAGCAAAUGAGGCAGAGCGGGGAUUAGAUUCCCUUAACCAUAUCCUGUGGAAGAUGAAGGAGUUUACAGAAUUUGUCUUUUUUGUGAAAAAGGCGUUGAUGAUGAUUGUUAUCCAGACUGGAAUCAUGACCUCCUUGUGGCAUGGAAGAUUCUGGCAAUUGAGAAGCUUCCAAGGUUUCCACAUACCAUAAUUCUCGAAGGUGGAAGCAUCCAUGUAGAUGGAGAAGGGACUUACCUCACUACUGAGGAGUGCCUGCUAAAUAAAAACAGGAACCUAAUUUGAUGAAGGAGCAAAUAAAGGAUCAACUUAAGGCAUAUCUUGGAGUGACGAAGAUUAUUUGGUUCCCCUGUGGAUUGUAUGUUGCAGGCACAAGACUUGCAGCUUCUUAUGUGAAUUUCUACGUUGCCAAUGGAGCAAUCAUUGCGCCACAAUUUGGGGACCAAAAAUGGGACGAUGAGGCUGUCCGAGUCCUAUCGAAAGCCUUUCCAUACCAUGAAGUAAGCUGAGUUUAUUAACUUUUAUUAUCACAAUUGAUAUCAAGUUCAAUGGUCCUAAAGUUUGUGUACUAUCUAAAGCCUUUCCAUGCCAGAAACUUUGUGAUAUUGUGAUCCUAAUGAGCUGUUUUAACUGUACAAACAAUUACUAGUGUGUACUGUGCUAGGCUUAAUAUAGAUUGUAAACUGGAAUCAAAUAUAAAACAGAACGGCUCGAUGCUCUCAAUGCUAGUGUAAACAAACAAUUAAAAAUUGUAGAUCAAGACGGAUUGAUACUCUCAUAUCUUA
Long non-coding RNA from Rosa chinensis, 899 nucleotides. RefSeq lists it as uncharacterized. The transcript has 6 exons. The record is from RefSeq and is a predicted model, not a curated record. Lineage: Eukaryota; Viridiplantae; Streptophyta; Magnoliopsida; Rosales; Rosaceae.